RNAcentral lists this ribosomal RNA (490 nucleotides) under uncultured bacterium. RNAcentral describes it as "partial 16S ribosomal RNA". It matches the Rfam family "Bacterial small subunit ribosomal RNA", at positions 30 to 507 of the family's 1533-position model. The record is from RNAcentral.
AUUGAACGCUGGCGGCAGGCCUAACACAUGCAAGUCGAACGGUAACAGGAAGCAGCUUGCUGCUUCGCUGACGAGUGGCGGACGGGUGAGUAAUGUCUGGGAAGCUGCCUGAUGGAGGGGGAUAACUACUGGAAACGGUAGCUAAUACCGCAUAAUGUCGCAAGACCAAAGAGGGGGACCUUCGGGCCUCUGUCCAUCGUAUGUGCCCAGAUGGGAUUAGCUUGUUGGUGGGGUAACGGCUCACCAAGGCGACGAUCCCUACCUGGUCUGAGAGGAUGACCAGCCACACCGGAACUGAGACACGGUCCAGAGUCCUACGGGAGGCAGCAGUGGGGAAUAUUGCACAAUGGGCGCAAGCCUGAUGCAGCCAUGCCGCGUGUAUGAAGAAGGCCUUCGGGUUGUAAAGUACUUUCAGCGGGGAGGAAGGGAGUAAAGUUAAUACCUUAGCUCAUUGACGUUACCCGCAGAAGAAGCACCGGCUAACUCCGUG